UUGAACGCUGGCGGCAUGCCUUACACAUGCAAGUCGAACGGCAGCGCGGGCUUCGGCCUGGCGGCGAGUGGCGAACGGGUGAGUAAUACAUCGGAACGUGCCCUGUUGUGGGGGAUAACUAGUCGAAAGAUUAGCUAAUACCGCAUACGACCUGAGGGUGAAAGCGGGGGACCGUAAGGCCUCGCGCAAUAGGAGCGGCCGAUGUCUGAUUAGCUAGUUGGUGGGGUAAAGGCCUACCAAGGCGACGAUCAGUAGCUG
Molecule: ribosomal RNA, 258 nt
Filed under: uncultured bacterium
Lineage: Bacteria
Description: partial 16S ribosomal RNA
Rfam family: Bacterial small subunit ribosomal RNA
Source: RNAcentral